This 696-nucleotide ribosomal RNA is filed under the name Bacillus spizizenii. Its description in RNAcentral is "bacterial SSU rRNA". It matches the Rfam family "Bacterial small subunit ribosomal RNA", at positions 102 to 780 of the family's 1533-position model. Lineage: Bacteria; Bacillati; Bacillota; Bacilli; Caryophanales; Bacillaceae. The record is from RNAcentral.
ACGGGUGAGUAACACGUGGGUAACCUGCCUGUAAGACUGGGAUAACUCCGGGAAACCGGGGCUAAUACCGGAUGCUUGUUUGAACCGCAUGGUUCAAACAUAAAAGGUGGCUUCGGCUACCACUUACAGAUGGACCCGCGGCGCAUUAGCUAGUUGGUGAGGUAAUGGCUCACCAAGGCGACGAUGCGUAGCCGACCUGAGAGGGUGAUCGGCCACACUGGGACUGAGACACGGCCCAGACUCCUACGGGAGGCAGCAGUAGGGAAUCUUCCGCAAUGGACGAAAGUCUGACGGAGCAACGCCGCGUGAGUGAUGAAGGUUUUCGGAUCGUAAAGCUCUGUUGUUAGGGAAGAACAAGUACCGUUCGAAUAGGGCGGUACCUUGACGGUACCUAACCAGAAAGCCACGGCUAACUACGUGCCAGCAGCCGCGGUAAUACGGAGGUGGCAAGCGUUGUCCGGAAUUAUUGGGCGUAAAGGGCUCGCAGGCGGUUUCUUAAGUCUGAUGUGAAAGCCCCCGGCUCAACCGGGGAGGGUCAUUGGAAACUGGGGGAACUUGAGUGCAGAAGAGGAGAGUGGAAUUCCACGUGUACGGUGAAAUGCGUAGAGAUGUGGGAGGAACACCAGUGGCGAAGCGACUCUCUGGGUCUGUAACUGACGCUGAGAGCGAGAAGCGGUGGGGGAGCGGACAGGAUGA